RNAcentral lists this long non-coding RNA (832 nucleotides) under Malus domestica (apple). Its description in RNAcentral is "long non-coding RNA (MDOM_LNC013248)". Lineage: Eukaryota; Viridiplantae; Streptophyta; Magnoliopsida; Rosales; Rosaceae. The record is from RNAcentral.
AAGAAUCAUUCGAGCUAGUCGAGCAGACCUGAUGGUUCUUCUUCAUCAAAAGUUGGUUGCUCCUUUGAGCGAUCAACAAGACAAGUUUUGAAAGUUGUAAAAGUUGUGAAGCAAGGAAAGUUGAGAAGUUAUGAGAUCUACGUUGUUGAUGCCUAACAAUAAUAGAGGCAUGGAAAGUUGGGAAUGUCUUCUCCAAGAGAUCUUGUUCAGUUAACUCCUUGCAAAAUUUAAGGCGUGAUCAGAUUUGACAGACUUCAGAAUUAUAUUCAUUCACAGACUUAAAGUCUUGGAAGCAAAGAUGUUGCUAGUCAUGUCUUACUUCAGGCAAAAAGAUCUUCUUCUUGUGAUCAAAGCGUCCCUGAAGAGCAAGCCCCAAAACUUAGGAAUCCUCUUCAGCGAAGUAUUCCAUCUGCAGUGUGUCAAGCAUGUGUCUUUUGAUAGAGAUCAUGAUAAUUGCUUUCUAAGCUUCACCAUCUGGAAUAUCUAUUUCAGCUUUAUUGGUGGCUCUUAGAUUCUUCGAAGUCAAAUGGCACUUCAAGUCUUCCAAAGACUUCCAAAGAACUGAAAUCGAGCUUUUAAAGUAUGACAUUUCACUAAGAUGGGAGAAACAAGGUCAUGGUUACUUCUUUUUAAAAAAACUUAAUUCUUCUGCUAUUAUUGAGUAUUAGGAGAUGAGAAUGCUCAUAGGUAAGAUGCUUGGGAAGAAUUUGGAACCUACAUUGAUUAAGUGGAAGUUAGGACCAUUUCGAUCACAGAUUGGUCUUAGACAAUUGGCUUUUGUAUGUCAAAGGGUAAAUCUUCCAUCUUGAAAGGUGGACACAUGAGUUCAGGG